RNAcentral lists this small nuclear RNA (163 nucleotides) under Castor canadensis (American beaver). Its description in RNAcentral is "U1 spliceosomal RNA (ENSCCNG00000000183.1)". It matches the Rfam family "U1 spliceosomal RNA". Rfam says of the family: U1 is a small nuclear RNA (snRNA) component of the spliceosome (involved in pre-mRNA splicing). The record is from Rfam by way of RNAcentral. Lineage: Eukaryota; Metazoa; Chordata; Mammalia; Rodentia; Castoridae.
AUACUUACCUGGCAGGGGAGAUACAAUGAUCACGAAGAUGGUUUUCCCGGAGUGAGGCUCAUUCAUUGCACUCCGGAUGUGCUGAUCCCUGCUGAUUUCCCCAGAUGUGGGAAAUUGGACUGUAUAGCUUGUGAUAGUGGGGACUGCAUUCAUGUUCUCUGCU